CGUAGGUGGCAAGCGUUGUCCGGAUUUAUUGGGUUUAAAGGGUGCGUAGGCGGUUCCAUAAGUCAGUGGUGAAAUACGGCAGCUCAACUGUCGAGGUGCCAUUGAUACUGCGGAACUUGAGUACUGAUGAGGUAGGCGGAAUUGACGGUGUAGCGGUGAAAUGCUUAGAUAUCGUCAAGAACACCGAUAGCGAAGGCAGCUUACCAAGCAGUAACUGACGCUGAGGCACGAAAGUGCGGGGAUCAAACAGGAUUAGAUACCCUGGUAGUCCGCACAGUAAACGAUGAUUACUCGAUGUUGGCGAUACACAGCCAGCGUCUUAGCGAAAGCGAUAAGUAAUCCGCCUGGGGAGUACGCCCGCAAGGGUG
RNAcentral lists this ribosomal RNA (368 nucleotides) under uncultured organism. RNAcentral's name for it is "bacterial SSU rRNA". It matches the Rfam family "Bacterial small subunit ribosomal RNA", at positions 526 to 896 of the family's 1533-position model. The record is from RNAcentral.